RNAcentral lists this ribosomal RNA (301 nucleotides) under uncultured bacterium. Its description in RNAcentral is "partial 16S ribosomal RNA". It matches the Rfam family "Bacterial small subunit ribosomal RNA", at positions 509 to 807 of the family's 1533-position model. The record is from RNAcentral.
CAGUCGCCACGGUAAUGCGAAGGGUGCAGGCGCUAAUCGGAAUUACUGGGCGUAAAGCGUGCGUAGGCGGUGAGUUAAGUCUGCUGUGAAAUCCCCGGGCUCAACCUGGGAAUGGCAGUGGAUACUGGCUCGCUAGAGUGUGUCAGAGGAUGGUGGAAUUCCCGGUGUAGCGGUGAAAUGCGUAGAGAUCGGGAGGAACAUCAGUGGCGAAGGCGGCCAUCUGGGACAACACUGACGCUGAGGCACGAAAGCGUGGGGAGCAAACAGGAUUAGAUACCCCAGUAGUCCCUGUCUCUUAUAC